RNAcentral lists this ribosomal RNA (730 nucleotides) under uncultured eukaryote. RNAcentral's name for it is "SSU rRNA". It matches the Rfam family "Eukaryotic small subunit ribosomal RNA", at positions 670 to 1426 of the family's 1831-position model. The record is from RNAcentral.
CGGGUGCACUGAUCCGGCCGGGCCUUUCCCUCUGCGGAACCCCAUGGCCUUCACUGGCUGUGCGGGGGAAGCAGGACUUUUACUGUGAAAAAAUUAGAGUGCUCCAGGCAGGCCUAUGCUCGAAUACAUUAGCAUGGAAUAAUAGAAUAGGACGCGUGGUUCUAUUUUGUUGGUUUCUAGGACCGCCGUAAUGAUUAAUAGGGACAGUCGGGGGCAUCAGUAUUCAAUUGUCAGAGGUGAAAUUCUUGGAUCUAUUGAAGACUAACUACUGCGAAAGCAUUUGCCAAGGAUGUUUUCAUUGAUAAGGAACGAAAGUUAGGGGAUCGAAGACGAUCAGAUACCGUCGUAGUCUUAACUAUAAACUAUGCCGACUAGGGAUCGGACGAUGUUAUUCUUUGACGCGUUCGGCACCUUUCGAGAAAUCAAAGUGCUUGGGCUCCAGGGGGAGUAUGGUCGCAAGGCUGAAACUUAAAAGAAAUUGACGGAAGGGCACCACCAGGGGUGGAACCUGCGGCUUAAUUUGACUCAACACGGGGAAACUCACCAGGUCCAGACACAGUGAGGAUUGACAGAUUGAGAGCUCUUUCUUGAUUCUGUGGGUGGUGGUGCAUGGCCGUUCUUAGUUGGUGGAGUGAUUUGUCUGCUUAAUUGCGAUAACGAACGAGACCUUAACCUGCUAAAUAGCCCGUACUGCUCUGGCAGUUCGCCGGCUUCUUAGAGGGACUAUCGG